RNAcentral lists this transfer RNA (76 nucleotides) under Methylobacterium platani. RNAcentral describes it as "tRNA-Asn". It matches the Rfam family "tRNA". Rfam says of the family: Transfer RNA (tRNA) molecules are approximately 80 nucleotides in length. Their secondary structure includes four short double-helical elements and three loops (D, anti-codon, and T loops). Lineage: Bacteria; Pseudomonadati; Pseudomonadota; Alphaproteobacteria; Hyphomicrobiales; Methylobacteriaceae. RNAcentral also lists the same sequence under 1 other name. The record is from RNAcentral.
UGUGACGUAGCUCAGUCGGUAGAGCGUCCCGCUGUUAACGGGUCGGUCCCAGGUUCGAGGCCUGGCGUCACAGCCA